Molecule: ribosomal RNA, 470 nt
Filed under: Acinetobacter sp. JS678
Lineage: Bacteria; Pseudomonadati; Pseudomonadota; Gammaproteobacteria; Moraxellales; Moraxellaceae
Description: bacterial LSU rRNA
Rfam family: Bacterial large subunit ribosomal RNA
Source: RNAcentral
GUUGUAUAGUCAAGUAAUUAAGUGCAUGUGGUGGAUGCCUUGGCAGUCAGAGGCGAUGAAAGACGUAAUAGCCUGCGAUAAGCUCCGGGGAGGCGGCAAAUAUCCUUUGAUCCGGAGAUUUCUGAAUGGGGGAACCCACCUACUUUAAGGUAGGUAUUGCAACAUGAAUACAUAGUGUUGCAAGGCGAACGAGGGGAAGUGAAACAUCUCAGUACCCUUAGGAAAAGAAAUCAAUUGAGAUUCCCUUAGUAGCGGCGAGCGAACGGGGAUCAGCCCAUUAAGUUAUGUGUGUUUUAGUGGAACGCUCUGGGAAGUGCGAACGUAGAGGGUGAUAUUCCCGUACACGAAAGGGCACACAUAAUGAUGACGAGUAGGGCGAGGCACGUGAAACCUUGUCUGAAUAUGGGGGGACCAUCCUCCAAGGCUAAAUACUCCUGACUGACCGAUAGUGAACCAGUACCGUGAGGGAA